RNAcentral lists this ribosomal RNA (433 nucleotides) under uncultured Oscillospiraceae bacterium. RNAcentral's name for it is "partial 16S ribosomal RNA". It matches the Rfam family "Bacterial small subunit ribosomal RNA", at positions 341 to 792 of the family's 1533-position model. Lineage: Bacteria; Bacillati; Bacillota; Clostridia; Eubacteriales; Oscillospiraceae. The record is from RNAcentral.
ACGGAAGGCAGCAGUGGGGGGUAUUGCACAAUGGGGGAACCCUGAUGCAGCGACGCCGCGUGAGCGAAGAAGAUCUUCGGAUUGUAAAGCUCUGUCUUAGGGGACGAUAAUGACGGUACCCUGAAAGGAAGCCACGGCUAACUGCGUGCCAGCAGCCGCGGUAAUACGUAGGUGGCAAGCGUUGUCCGGAAUUACUGGGUGUAAAGGGAGCGCAGGCGGGUCGACAAGUUGGAAGUGAAAAUUACGGGCUCAACUCGUAAACUGCUUUCAAAACUGCCGAUCUUGAGUGGUGUAGAGGUAGGCGGAAUUCCCGGUGUAGCGGUGGACUGCGUAGAUAGCGGGAGGAACACCAGUGGCGAAGGCGGCCUACUGGGCACUAACUGACGCUGAGGCUCGAAAGCAUGGGUAGCAAACAGGAUUAGAUACCCUGGUA